AUGAGCGGGAACGUACGAGGGCUCAACUCGCCGGCCCGGCUAGCCGUUGUGAGCGAGAUGGCGGAGGCGCACAAGCUAGCUCUUCUCUGCCUUCAAGAGACAAAGAUUGACGAAUGGAAUAGAUCUCUAGUUAGAGAGGUGGGCGGGACCAGGCUAGCAGACUGCAUCGUCCUCCCGGCGACAGGCACUAGGGGAGGCGCGGCAAUCUUUUGGGACAAGAGCCACGUAGAUGUGCAAUCCCACGCCAUCGGUCGUUUCUCCAUCAUGGCCAAAAUCACUCUCGCAGCAACAACAGCAUCCUUCUGGAUGUCGACGGUGUACGGACCCGUCGAUGACGGGAGGAAAGACGAGUUCCUGGCCGAGCUGGCACGUACACCGCCGGCACCGAGCGACCCCUGGCUCAUCAACGACGACUUCAACCUGAUCUAUGAGGCGCAAGAUAAGAACAACAGCAACAUAAACCGUGGGAUCAUGGGCAAAUUCCGGGCUGCAAUCCACGCGGCAGGGUUGAAGGAGAUCAUGUGC
Molecule: ribosomal RNA, 525 nt
Filed under: Triticum aestivum (bread wheat)
Lineage: Eukaryota; Viridiplantae; Streptophyta; Magnoliopsida; Poales; Poaceae
Description: partial small subunit ribosomal RNA
Source: RNAcentral